UCUCACUCUCACUGUGCGUGCAG
This 23-nucleotide non-coding RNA is filed under the name Cricetulus griseus (Chinese hamster). The record is from RNAcentral. Lineage: Eukaryota; Metazoa; Chordata; Mammalia; Rodentia; Cricetidae.